AGCGAACGCUGGCGGCAGGCUUAACACAUGCAAGUCGAGCGGGCACUUUCGGGUGUCCGCGGCGGACGGGUGAGUAACGCGUGGGAACGGGCCCUCUGGUUCGGAAUAACUCAGGGAAACUUGAGCUAAUACCGGAUACGCCCUUUUGGGGAAAGGCUUGCUGCCGGAGGAUCGGCCCGCGUCUGAUUAGCUAGUUGGUGAGGUAACGGCUCACCAAGGCGACGAUCAGUAGCUGGUCUGAGAGGAUGAUCAGCCACACUGGGACUGAGACACGGCCCAGACUCCUACGGGAGGCAGCAGUGGGGAAUAUUGGACAAUGGGCGCAAGCCUGAUCCAGCCAUGCCGCGUGAGUGAUGAAGGCCUUAGGGUUGUAAAGCUCUUUUAUCCGGGACGAUAAUGACGGUACCGGAGGAAUAAGCCCCGGCUAACUUCGUG
Molecule: ribosomal RNA, 435 nt
Filed under: uncultured bacterium
Lineage: Bacteria
Description: partial 16S ribosomal RNA
Rfam family: Bacterial small subunit ribosomal RNA
Source: RNAcentral